This is a long non-coding RNA of Coregonus clupeaformis (lake whitefish), 233 nucleotides long. RefSeq lists it as uncharacterized. The record is from RefSeq and is a predicted model, not a curated record. The transcript has 2 exons. NCBI's taxonomy places the organism in Eukaryota, Metazoa, Chordata, Actinopteri, Salmoniformes, Salmonidae.
GGACACCUCUCCAGCGCCAGUUCGUUCCUUCACCACCUGUGAUCCCGUCGAUUCCUGCCUGCCUGCCACUCCCACGCCGCAACCCGCUCACCAGUUGUCUGUUAUCCUCGGCAUCCAGCUCUCGGUGCUACUGGCUCUCCUCACCACGCAGCUCCUACCCCGGUCUGUAGCUGCUCCACCCUGCACUACUCCUCUCUGCCAAAACCCCCUGAAUAAAACAACAUCAUAUUCAC